This is a long non-coding RNA of Aegilops tauschii subsp. strangulata, 1196 nucleotides long. RefSeq lists it as uncharacterized. The record is from RefSeq and is a predicted model, not a curated record. Lineage: Eukaryota; Viridiplantae; Streptophyta; Magnoliopsida; Poales; Poaceae.
CGUUGGCUUCCCGCGUGUGCGUGCGUGCCCGGCGUGUGUGCGGGGGACUGAGAUCCAGUGACUUCACUUUGUACUGUCAUGCUGCAACUUUAGCGUUCCAAUCUCCAUCCAAAACGCAUCCAAAGGUCAAUAUGAGACACAGGCAAAAACUUCAGGAUUUAGCAGUUUGGGCAAGGGCGGGCAGGAAAUUGGGGAUUCGCGGGCUUGCGGGUCACGUCUGGAACUCUCCCGCGGCGCCGACCACGCUGCCGCAUCAGAGAGGAAUCGAAGCGACACGACGGCGGAGUACGGGGAGCUGGCCGCAACGUUGCUGGAGGAGGAGGGACGGCCGCCGCCGGAGAAGAGGAGGAGGGUCAGGUCGCGCCGUCGCUGGAGGAGAGGAGGGGCGGCCGCCACCGGAGGAGAGGAGGAGGGACACACCGCCACCGCAAGAUCGUUCCACCAAGGAGAAGUCCAUCGUUGCCGCCAUUAAAGGAGAGAAAUCGCCUCAGCGUCACGCCCGCGAGGUGUCCCGGACAGACAGUAAUUAAGUCGGCAAAACUAGAAAGAGACAGGAAAGUGCGUGUCAAUUAAGUAGGGUCCUGCUCAAUUGAGUGGGUAAAGCAGGGCCAGGGGAAAGUACAUGAAUGGCUUAUUGAAAGCUUCAAGCCUUUUGGAACCAUGGUGCUGGCCCCAACACAAGCCCUUUUUGAAACAAAAGUUCACCGCUGCCGGGGAUCGAACCGUAGGCAAGGCAGGAAUACUUACCACUAUACUACAACGACUUGCUUUUUCGGAAACCGUGUGAACUUUUGCAGUAUGAUGAAGGGAUCGAUGUAUCUCCAGAGGCAAGACAGUCUGAAGAAGGAAAAAUCAGAUAGACAGGUGGUUCAGGCUGAGGCACAGGAUACAAAUAGCUCAGCUGUCUGCCUAUGCUAGUUCAAACUAUGAAAGCCACUAAUUUUUGUCAGUAUGUAAAUUCUUUCCAAAGCUGGUUGUUAUAUCAGUUAUGCCUAUUAUAUAUUUACUGGUACGUACACUAGUUCAUCAGCUAGAAACUUGCUACUUCCUCUGUGGAAGACCUAGAAGCAAGCGCUCAGUCAAAUUCUGUACACUUCUAUAGUAGUUUAGAAGCUAUUCGGCUGUACAAUAUCCCUUCCUUCUGAAUUUGUAACAUAUGGAUCAAUUUGAAGGAGAUCAUGUUACCUUUCCCUGCA